UACGUAGGGGGCAAGCGUUGUCCGGAUUUAUUGGGCGUAAAGAGCGUGUAGGCGGUUUGGUAGGUCCGCUGUGAAAACUCGAGGCUCAACCUCGAGACGCCGGUGGAAACCAUCAGACUAGAGUCCGGAAGAGGAGAGUGGAAUUCCUGGUGUAGCGGUGAAAUGCGCAGAUAUCAGGAAGAACACCCGUGGCUAAGGCGGCUCUCCAGUACGGUACUGACGCUGAGACGCGAAAGCGUGGGGAGCGAACAGG
RNAcentral lists this ribosomal RNA (253 nucleotides) under uncultured bacterium. RNAcentral's name for it is "partial 16S ribosomal RNA". It matches the Rfam family "Bacterial small subunit ribosomal RNA", at positions 524 to 776 of the family's 1533-position model. The record is from RNAcentral.